UACAUGGGGUGCAAACGUUGCUCGGAAUUAUUGGGCGUAAAGAGCUCGUAGGCGGCUUGUCGCGUCGUCCGUGAAAACUUGGGGCUCAACCCCAAGCUUGCGGUCGAUACGGGCAGGCUAGAGUUCGGUAGGGGAGACUGGAAUUCCUGGUGUAGCGGUGAAAUGCUUAGAUAUCGUCAAGAACACCUAUUGCGUAGGCAGCUUACUAGGCUCUAAUUGACACUGAGGCACGAAAGUGUGGGGAUCAAACAGG
This 253-nucleotide ribosomal RNA is filed under the name uncultured bacterium. RNAcentral's name for it is "partial 16S ribosomal RNA". It matches the Rfam family "Bacterial small subunit ribosomal RNA", at positions 524 to 776 of the family's 1533-position model. The record is from RNAcentral.